CACGUAGGGCGCAAGCGUUGUCCGGAAUUAUUGGGCGUAAAGAGCUCGUAGGCGGUCUGUCGCGUCGGAUGUGAAAAUCCAGGGCUCAACCCUGGACCUGCAUUCGAUACGGGCAGACUAGAGUUCGGCAGGGGAGACUGGAAUUCCUGGUGUAGCGGUGAAAUGCGCAGAUAUCAGGAGGAACACCGGUGGCGAAGGCGGGUCUCUGGGCCGAUACUGACGCUGAGGAGCGAAAGCGUGGGGAGCGAACAGG
This 253-nucleotide ribosomal RNA is filed under the name uncultured bacterium. Its description in RNAcentral is "partial 16S ribosomal RNA". It matches the Rfam family "Bacterial small subunit ribosomal RNA", at positions 524 to 776 of the family's 1533-position model. The record is from RNAcentral.